This 244-nucleotide ribosomal RNA is filed under the name uncultured bacterium. RNAcentral's name for it is "partial 16S ribosomal RNA". It matches the Rfam family "Bacterial small subunit ribosomal RNA", at positions 111 to 354 of the family's 1533-position model. The record is from RNAcentral.
UAACGCGUGAGGAACCUGCCCUUCAGAGGGGGACGAACAGUUGGAAACGACUGCUAAUACCGCAUGAUACAUUUGAAUCGCAUGGUUUGAAUGUCAAAGAUUUAUCGCUGAAGGAUGGCCUCGCGUCUGAUUAGCUAGUUGGUGGGGUAACGGCCCACCAAGGCGACGAUCAGUAGCCGGACUGAGAGGUUGGCCGGCCACAUUGGGACUGAGAUACGGCCCAGACUCCUACGGAAGGCAGCAG